Molecule: ribosomal RNA, 450 nt
Filed under: uncultured bacterium
Lineage: Bacteria
Description: partial 16S ribosomal RNA
Rfam family: Bacterial small subunit ribosomal RNA
Source: RNAcentral
GUGGGGAAUCUUCCGCAAUGGACGAAAGUCUGACGGAGCGACGCCGCGUGAGUGAAGAAGGCCUUCGGGUCGUAAAGCUCUGUCAUCAGGGACGAACGGCCGGUGGAGUGGAAAGCCACCGGAUUGACGGUACCUGAGAAGGAAGCCACGGCUAACUACGUGCCAGCAGCCGCGGUAAUACGUAGGUGGCAAGCGUUGUCCGGAAUUAUUGGGCGUAAAGCGCGCGCAGGUGGGAUCUUAAGUCCAUUUUGAAAGUUCGGAGCUCAACUCCGUGAUGGGAUGGAAACUGGGAUUCUUGAGUACCGGAGAGGAAAGCGGAAUUCCCCGUGUAGCGGUGAAAUGCGUAGAUAUGGGGAGGAACACCAGUGGCGAAGGCGGCCUGCUGGACAUUAACUGACGCUGAGGCGCGAAAGCGUGGGGAGCAAACAGGAUUAGAAACCCUGGUAGUCC